Molecule: ribosomal RNA, 253 nt
Filed under: uncultured bacterium
Lineage: Bacteria
Description: partial 16S ribosomal RNA
Rfam family: Bacterial small subunit ribosomal RNA
Source: RNAcentral
UACGAAGGGGGCUAGCGUUGUUCGGAAUUACUGGGCGUAAAGCGCGUGUAGGCGGGUCUUUAAGUCAGGGGUGAAAUGCCAAGGCUCAACCUUGGAAAUGCCUUUGAUACUGGAGAUCUUGAGUCCGGGAGAGGUGAGUGGAAUUGCGAGUGUAGAGGUGAAAUUCGUAGAUAUUCGCAAGAACCCCAGUGGCGAAGGCGGCUCCCUGGCCCGGAACUGACGCUGAGACGCGAAAGCGUGGGGAGCAAACAGG